This 477-nucleotide ribosomal RNA is filed under the name uncultured bacterium. Its description in RNAcentral is "bacterial SSU rRNA". It matches the Rfam family "Bacterial small subunit ribosomal RNA", at positions 32 to 519 of the family's 1533-position model. The record is from RNAcentral.
CUAACGCUGACGGCGUGCCUAACACAUGCAAGUCGUGCGGGGUCUUAAGAGCUUGCUUUUAAGACCUAGCGGCAGACGGGUGAGUAACGCGUAAAUAACCUGCCCUAUCGCUGGGGAUAAGCUACCGAAAGGGAGUCUAAUACCGAAUGAGUCUAUUUGGCGCUGGCUGAAUAGAUGAAAGUAGUAAUGCGCGAUAGGAGGGAUUUGCGUCCCAUUAGCUAGUUGGUAAGGUAACGGCUUACCAAGGCUACGAUGGGUAGCUGGUCUGAGAGGAUGAUCAGCCACACUGGAACUGAGAUACGGUCCAGACUCCUACGGGAGGCAGCAGUGAGGAAUAUUGCGCAAUGGCCGAAAGGCUGACGCAGCGACGCCGUGUGGGGGAAGACGGCCCUUGGGUUGUAAACCCCUGUCAGUGGGGAAGAAGAUCUGACGGUACCCACAGAGGAAGCCCCGGCUAACUACGUGCCAGCAGCCGCG